GCCUCGGUAGCUCAACUGGAAGAGCAGCUCCGUCCUAAGGAGAGGGUUGUGGGUUCGAUUCCUGCCCGGGGUACCA
This 76-nucleotide transfer RNA is filed under the name Candidatus Saccharimonadota bacterium. Its description in RNAcentral is "tRNA-Arg". It matches the Rfam family "tRNA". Rfam says of the family: Transfer RNA (tRNA) molecules are approximately 80 nucleotides in length. The record is from RNAcentral. RNAcentral also lists the same sequence under 1 other name. Lineage: Bacteria; Candidatus Saccharimonadota.